AGUGAACGCUGGCGGUAGGCCUAACACAUGCAAGUCGAACGGCAGCACAGUAAGAGCUUGCUCUUACGGGUGGCGAGUGGCGGACGGGUGAGGAAUACAUCGGAAUCUACUUUUUCGUGGGGGAUAACGUGGGGAAACUUACGCUAAUACCGCAUACGACCUACGGGUGAAAGCAGGGGAUCUUCGGACCUUGCGCGAUUGAAUGAGCCGAUGUCGGAUUAGCUAGUUGGCGGGGUAAAGGCCCACCAAGGCGACGAUCCGUAGCUGGUGGGAGAGAAUGAUCGGCCACACUGGAACUGAGACACGGUCCAGAGUCCUACGGGAGGGAGCAGUGGGGAAUAUUGGACAAUGGGCGCAAGCCUGAUCCAGCCAUACCGCGUGGGUGAAGAAGGCCUUCGGGUUGUAAAGCCCUUUUGUGGGGAAAGAAAAGCAGCAGGUUAAUACCCCGCUGUUCUGACGGUACCCAAAGAAUAAGCACCGGCUAACUUCGUG
RNAcentral lists this ribosomal RNA (492 nucleotides) under uncultured bacterium. Its description in RNAcentral is "partial 16S ribosomal RNA". It matches the Rfam family "Bacterial small subunit ribosomal RNA", at positions 29 to 507 of the family's 1533-position model. The record is from RNAcentral.